AGCAGAGUAGAGCAGCAGUCCGACUCCGCAGCAGCAGCAGCGUUCUUUCAACACUGAUUUGUCCAGAUCACAGUUGUUUCAAACACUGUUGGAAAGUGUGCUUCUUUGCCACGUUGGCAUGGUGGCAGAUAUAGGGGGCACAAAUGUAGAUGAUGCAACGAGGCGAAUGAUGAAAUACAUUCUGUCAAACGAGCUGGCAUUGGACUAUAACAUGUUUGGCCGUCACGGGAAAAAGAAGUUUAAGGACUUGUGUCUUUUCAACGUUGUGUAUGAGGCUCUUAAGAAGAAUUCGUUGGUGAACCAGCAGGAGGCAGAGAGGGCACUGUCGAAAUGGCUCAUUGGGGCAAGAGACAGAGGAGGACGAAGGGCAUCCAGACAGCCAGUGCCAAAUUAAAAAGUACUGAGCAGUGGUGGAAUAUGAGUGAGUGCAGAAAAUUUGUAUUCAGGUACAAGUACAGUUAGACUGUUAAAAUAUUUUCAGUUACAGACAAAACGUUGACACACUGUUACAUUGUUUUUCUGGAACAAUUAUUUUCAUUACCAAUGAAUCUGUUGAUCAUUUUGUCUGUUAUCAGAAAAAUAUUCGUAAAUAAAAAGUUGAAAUCA
Perca fluviatilis (European perch) is the source of this 606-nucleotide long non-coding RNA. RefSeq lists it as uncharacterized. The transcript is spliced from 4 exons. The record is from RefSeq and is a predicted model, not a curated record. NCBI's taxonomy places the organism in Eukaryota, Metazoa, Chordata, Actinopteri, Perciformes, Percidae.